This 288-nucleotide unclassified non-coding RNA is filed under the name fungal sp. RNAcentral describes it as "partial internal transcribed spacer region". The stretch from base 1 to 46 matches the Rfam family "Eukaryotic small subunit ribosomal RNA", at positions 1786 to 1831 of the family's 1831-position model. Lineage: Eukaryota; Fungi. The record is from RNAcentral.
AAGUCGUAACAAGGUUUCCGUAGGUGAACCUGCGGAAGGAUCAUUAACAAUGCUUUAAAAGCAUCCACCUUUUGUGCAUAGACCAACUGUUACCUUGGCGUUGCUUCAAAUAAUAUGAAAAUAUUAAUUGACUUAGUUUUUUGGCCGGAUAUAUUUAUAUAACCCGCUAAAGCUCUAAGCGGCACGCCGGAGGAUUUUAUAAACGUUAAUCUUUGUCUGAAAAAAUUUUAUUUCUUUGAAAAUAAAAACAUAACCAAUACAACUUUUAACAACGGAUCUCUUGGCUCU